AUCAGGGCACAGGUCAGGGAUGGAGGACAAUUCAUCUUUACAGCUCAGAAGGUUGAUACCCCAAUUCUGCUCCCAGACCUGCCACUGACUCAUCCAUGCCCUCGAUUCUUGGUGUGACCCUGAUUUUCCAAUCUGUGAGCCAAAUCCCUGAGCUGGAUUCUGGGCAAGCUGUGGGGUGAGCCAGCACCUUCCCAGCCAUGAAUCUGCCUGAGUUUUGUUGUUCUUUUAAACGUUUCCUUGCAGGGAUUUUUGAGACAACUCUUUUCAAGUUACUUUUUUGUCACCACGGCAGGGAAAGAGGAAGCAGAGAUUGACAAUGUGCAGACGAGGCAAAAUCUGCAUGAUGUGAUUUAAUAGAACAAUAAGCAGCAGCUGGUGCCUUCCACUCGAGCUUUCAGAAGAAGCACUGAGAUAUCUUUGAAGACACCACAGGGCAAAGAAUUGUGAAGAAAAGAACAGCUGCAGCAUCCACAACACGGACAAGGCCAGGGCUGUGGAAUGGAAAAGGAGACUUUGGUAACGGGAAACCCACACAAAGCUGGUUUGUGCCAUAAAUCCCACAAAAUGCUGCUCAUUUUUCCCUGGAGGGGACAAUGAGUGCUCUGGGCUGGUGAUCGGGUGGGGGUCGGGCACGGGAUGGUCCAGGAGGGCUUUUCCAGCCCGGAUGAUUCUGUGACAGCUGUAGGGCUCAAGUUCUUUCCAAAUUUCUGCUUGAAAGCAGAAUGAAGCUGUGGCAAUAGAAAGCCCUUCCCAAAGAGAUGCGAAUUCCCAUUAAAUACCCCAGGUAUUCAAUUUAAAUAGCGCUCGGUGUGAUCCUGCAGGAGAGGAGGGAUCUCCUUCCCCCAGGAGCACUUUUGGGGUGAUUAUCCCAGGAUCGUUUAAUUGUCCCUGUUUUAUCCAUCCCAUCUGAGCCGGCCGAGAAUUCGAAGCAGAAGGCUCAGCCAGCUCUGGGUGUUCCCAGCCCUUCCACCCAAAGCCAGGCAGGAACUUCACAAAAUUGAGGGGAGCAGGGAGCGUUUCCAGGGCUGGGGGAGGUGGGAAUGUCCCCAUGGGGAGCAGGGACAAGGAGCUGGAAUGGCAGCUGGAGGUUUGCUCCAGCCUGGCACUGCCAGCUCCCCUCUCCUGC
Non-coding RNA from Sturnus vulgaris (Common starling), 1126 nucleotides. Lineage: Eukaryota; Metazoa; Chordata; Aves; Passeriformes; Sturnidae. The record is from RefSeq and is a predicted model, not a curated record.